Long non-coding RNA from Sphaerodactylus townsendi, 2841 nucleotides. RefSeq lists it as uncharacterized. The record is from RefSeq and is a predicted model, not a curated record. The transcript is spliced from 3 exons. NCBI's taxonomy places the organism in Eukaryota, Metazoa, Chordata, Lepidosauria, Squamata, Sphaerodactylidae.
GUGGUGGUAACUGUGGGGGGGAAAGGAAAAGCAAUCGGUUACGCCUGCUCACCCGUGAAACAAGUGAUUAUACUAUUGCUUUGCCGAUGCAAACAUUUGCUCAGACAUACAGUGGUGAGCAUCAGGAUUCAUCUGGUUCACACAAAGACCCCACCCAGAUAACAUCUGGCUGCUGAGUAGCUCAUUUGCAUAAGGAAAUGGUGGGCUUUGGGAAUGAGGAUCUUAUGCAAAUAUAAUGCCCUAAGUUCAGGCACUGAGGCACUGUUCAGGCUUACGAAGGGGCAGGACAGACUGAUGCAAUUUUAAUAUGCCACCAUGUUGUCAAAUAUUAGCAUAAUCCCACAGUACAAAAUAUCUGACAAUUGGUGAGGAAAUUCUACCAUUAAAAGGUGUUGGCAUAAAGGGAACCCCAGAGGUUGGAUCCAAACUUAAACGGCAAUUUCCACAAAUUCCUGCUACAGAUUCCCCCUCCCCCCCAAUAAGCAUUUCAUCGAGAUCAGUGAGCUGCAGUGGAAAGGGGAAACAGGCAGUGAUAUAGCUAGAGGGUAGAGGGGGCUGGAGCCAAAUUCCAUCAAGAGAGAGAAGCUGAACUUCCCAACCUGGCCCCAUCCCCAACCCAGUCACAGGACCUCUCCUUCGAUGGAUUCAAUUUCAGAUGACCAUUUUAAUUACCUCAUCAUGGCCUCCAGGCACCCACCCUGCAUUUUCUGGGACAGUCACUGACUGGCCAUCCUCUACAGUUAUAGCUAUCGGUUUACUGAUGGCAACCCAACUCCAAACUCCUGACUAGCUGGGCGAGGGGGCACAUGUCGAUGUUAAACAGCAUUGGGGAAAGGAUUGCCCGUUGAGGGACUCCACAAAUCUGGAAUGUAGUGAAUUAAAAUUGCACAGAAUCAGGAAGUUGGGGGGGGGGAGCCGUAAGUAGCAGAGAGUUGGUUAGAUGGAGGUGGCUGCAGCCCCAAGAACCUGCUCUUGUGAAUCCCUGCCUUUUUAAUUUACUCGAUUGGUUUGAUCAACUACUGGCACCUAUAUUUUCAACUGGAUGGCUUCCAUAUUUUUUGUUUCUUGAUCCCAGCAUGCCAAAGGUGUAACCUCAAACUAGUCAGGUCUCCAUGAAAAAGGAGCUCUGCACCAGCGCAGACUUCCCUAAGAGCAACUGGGCUCCCAGUUUCUUUUAGUUGUGGGAUGGGGAUGCUGAGAUGCUCCUUUUGGCCAUUCCUCCAUGUUUUUAGCAAGUAGGGGGUUGUGCAUUUCAAAGGAGUCCAGUGCUUGACGUGCAAACCUCUUGGGGCAAGAGCAAGGUCUAUUAGCCUGUGGCUUGUUGUGUGGGGUGCAGUGCUGAGACCAAGUAAUUUAACACAUCAAGACUAUAACCUAUGUGAGGUGCUUCCUUGGGAGGCUUGACUGACUAGCCCUCCACCUUGGUGUCAACCUGGUCCCCUGGAUCUCCAUUGGCCUCAGAAUGGGCAAAGGAAGAGCUCAAAUGCACUCCCAGGAACCCUCUACCCAGUUCCUCCUUGACUUUUUACCAGUUCCUUCAUUUAAAGCAUAGGUGUCAAACUAAGGCCCUCCAAAUGUUCAUGGACUACAAUUCCCAGCAGCCCCGGCUAGCAUGGCCAAUUGGCCCUACUGGCAUGGGCUGAUGGGAAUCAUAGUCCAUGAACCCCUGGAGGGCCUGAGUUUGACACCUAAAGGGAUGUUGCUUCAUCCCUUUCCAUGCCCAAGCAGUUGGGUGCUAUCUUGUUCCUGCCCCCACCCCUAGGUUCUCUCCUCCUAUCCGGGUCAGGUGAAACCUUUUGCCAGAUUCCCUGCCCUCAACCCAGCAGCCCCUGUGCUACCACCCUCAGACCUGUUCUGGCCCUUCCCCCUUUAAUGGGUUUGGCCCCAAGAAUCUUCCCACCCCAGAAAGAGGCGGUGUCUUGCCCCUGCCAGCUGGCUCCUUUUCCUACCACCUGGGCCCCAGCUUCUGAAAAAGGGCAGGCAAGUCAAGCCCCUUCUCAGGCUCCUGUGGCAGCAUCUUUGUCAGUGGAGUUGAGCUGACUGGCAGCUCCCUUCUUGCCGCUGCUGAGCAGGGUGCCGAGGCUCUCCUUCCCAUCCACUGUUGCUAGUGGCCAAAUCCCCAUUUUUGUGUGUUUCCCUAAGAAUGGAACAAUGAAGAAUGCUCACGUAUGAGGGGGAAAAAGAGUAUUACAAACACCAGCCCAUUGCCAGCAGCUGUCUUUUGUAAAGAGUUGCAGAUGAAAUGUUAACUGUGGUUCCAUGAUGUCACCUAUCUCACCAUCUUCUGUUGCCCUGCUAGCAGCUUAUUUGCAUUUGCCGUACAAAACAGGUGCCUGGCACAGUGGGGUGAAUGGGUUCACAGAAGGAUGUUAGACCUAUUGGAGAACUCUGACCGCAGACUUGUGCAUCUGUGGCGCCCCAGUAUUGGAAAAUCUGUGCCAUUGUGUUUGUGUGUGUAUGACGAGCUUAAAUAGGGUGAAUUUAUUAGUCAAUAUGGAUUAGGCUAGUGAUUUGCCAAUUUUUUUUUAACUCUUGUCAAAUCCACAGAAGGAGCUAACUUGUGUAGAAUUACUAAAUUUGCUGUGACUGCGCAGCUGCCCAGACAUGGGCCUGGAUCCGUCAGAGCAUUUCCAUUGUUUCAAGGAACUCUGCCUUCAAAAUUCAACUUUCCUCCCCUCCUCUUCCUCCUCCAGUUGCUGUCCCCAGUGCCCUCCAACACUGUUCUUGGGAGACAGGGGGCCUGUGGGACAUAAUUUCAAUGGGAGGGAUUCCGUGAGGAGCUUGUGUUCUUCUGGUGGACAUAUAUCUGUUUCGAGAAACCUUCUAGAAGAGGAAUUGAUG